Molecule: long non-coding RNA, 348 nt
Organism: Bombina bombina (fire-bellied toad)
Lineage: Eukaryota; Metazoa; Chordata; Amphibia; Anura; Bombinatoridae
Exons: 2
Source: RefSeq, a predicted model, not a curated record
CAGCCCUUUCUUGGCCUGGACUGACUGCGUCCCAUUGGCUGGGCUUCUCUGCUGUAAAGAGGAAGACUGCUUUUCCAGGAGUCAGCGGAGAAGCUUUAUCCAACACCUCACAGCAGGCCUUAUAAAGACUGUCUACUGCGUAUGACCUGGACUAUCCCUGCUAGUUUGCUUGGUAUUCCAUCGUGACCUACUACCACCAUCUUCAGAUACCACACCUAACUACAUUGUAAAUUCUGAAAUUGUGGGUCACAUUCAAGCUCUGAUCUUGAGUUUGGGUCAGUUUAUUUUUUCAGUGCCAGCUUGUGGGUCCUAUAUCAGCACUAACAAUAAAUGCAGACUUUUGCCAUG